Molecule: ribosomal RNA, 550 nt
Filed under: uncultured bacterium
Lineage: Bacteria
Description: bacterial SSU rRNA
Rfam family: Archaeal small subunit ribosomal RNA
Source: RNAcentral
UAGAUACCCAGGUAGUCCCAGCUGUAAACGAUGCGCGUUAGGUGUGUCAGUGACCACGUGUCACUGAGAUGCCGAAGGGAAACCGUGAAACGCGCCGCCUGGGGAGUACGGUCGCAAGGCUGAAACUUAAAGGAAUUGGCGGGGGGAGCACCACAACGGGUGGAGCCUGCGGUUUAAUCGGACUCAACGCCGGAGAUCUCACCGGAUAAGACAGCUGAAUGAUAGUCGGGAUGAAGACUCUACUUGACUAGCUGAGAGGAGGUGCAUGGCCGUCGUCAGUUCGUACUGUGAAGCAUCCUGUUUAGUCAGGCAACGAGCGAGACCCACGCCAACAAUUGCCAGCAUGACCUUCGGGUUGAUGGGGACGAUCGUUGGGACCGCCGUCUGCGUAAAGGGGAGGAAGGAAGUGGGCGAACGGUAGGUCAGCAUGCCCGAAUUAUCCGGGCUACACGCGGGCUACAAUGGUCAGGACAAUGGGUUACCGACACCGAAAGGUGAAGGCAAUCUCCUAAACCCGUCCGAAGUUCGGAUUGCGGUUGUAACUCACCCG